ACUUAAAUAGCUUAAGAAAAGCAUGAUAGUGAAGUUAUUAAGUUAGUCGUUGACUUUUAGGUA
RNAcentral lists this transfer RNA (63 nucleotides) under Cheirotonus jansoni. Its description in RNAcentral is "tRNA-Phe". Lineage: Eukaryota; Metazoa; Arthropoda; Insecta; Coleoptera; Scarabaeidae. The record is from RNAcentral.